This is a long non-coding RNA of Gallus gallus (chicken), 2094 nucleotides long. Lineage: Eukaryota; Metazoa; Chordata; Aves; Galliformes; Phasianidae. The record is from Ensembl.
CAAGAAUAGAAAGAGACUUAAUGAUUGUGGUACUUGACUGCUAUUUCCUCUCCAGAAUUAUCUCAACUGUGCAUAGGUUUACUGCUACACUGCCUCUUAGAUAUACUAGGACCUAAGCAAAAUAAAAGGUCUUAUGAUCUAUCAACUUCUUUGAGGAACUCCAACUACUUCUUCUGUCCAUGAAUCAUCUAGCACCUACCCUUUAAAAACAUCAACAAAUGGUGACCUCUGGAUGCUACUCACAGUGUAGUCACUAAGACAAGAUUGUGAGAAUAACUGACAUUCUUGUUAUCUUGAUAACACUUUGUUAUCGUUCAAGAAAUCAUCUUGGAUUGAUUGGAAAUGGAAGGUACCGUGCAGAUUUUAAAUUGAAUUUAACAUUCUCCUGAAAGGAAUAUUUAAAACAAGUGUGAAUGUGACACUGUUUUUAAAGACGUUUUGACUUGACUCAAAUCAAUGCUUUUUCAGUAAAUAUAGUUGUGUCUCAUCAGCAGCAAACACUGUGAAAUCCAUUUGUUAGUGGGAGAGACUCACAUAAAUUAAUUACUGACAGAGUACAAGGUUCUGCUCAUUGCAGUAAUAACACAGCUCUGUUGUGUGGAGAGUUAGGUGAUAAAUCAUCUACUUAAUGGCAUGCGAAGGAUCAGAUGCUGCACCUGAUGCAAUUCUAUCAUAUCAUUUGCUGCAGAUUAUGAGAAGAACGCAUUCUGCAGUCACAGAAUGAGAUUUGUUUUUUAAUCUAGACUUUAGCUGGGAUUUUAGUGAAUAUUCUGUGGGCUGCACAUUGAUACAUACAUACACAAUAGAAUUCUCCCGUGACGACCGGAAACAUAAUGAGCAUUCAUCUUUUUUUGCACUAGUGAGAUGCCUUCUGCCUUCUUCCCACUCAUGUGGCUGCAGGCCCUCUGGAACAGAGCUCCAGACCAGAUGCAGCCUAUGGGCCACAGAUUCCCACCCUGACCAAAAAGGGAAGCUUUCUCCUGGAAGGAUGAUGGCAGAGGAGAAAAUGCAGCAGCCCUGGGCAACGAGCAAGGUCUGCAGUCUGGCAGUGCAGCUCAGCAGAUCUCUGAGAUGUGAAGUCAUCUAAGUGGAGCCACCCUACGCGUGUCAAACGAACUGACAGAUUGCAAGUGUGCUUCCUCACAUUUUGGUUUCACUGAGUCAGCAAGCCUUGCAUGGGGUGGUUCCUCUGUUCACUGAGAUUUUACCAGUCUUCCAAUUAAAUUCCCUUUCCACCAAUAUGAACUUGACAUUCUUUGGAAGAGGUCACAUGCCGGUUCGCACACCUGCAGGGAUUACAGUAGAGCUGCUCAUUAUUCCAGCCCUCUUGUCUGGGUAGACAUACUUACACCAAGGAUGUACCUCCUGUGGUUAUUUUCUCUCUGAGGUGAGGGAGGUAAAAUUGUUUGCCUAGUAUAUACCAAUCAUUUCCCUCAUGGUAAUGGGCAAAUACCUGCUUGCUGCUGGCUUUCCUUCAUGGAACUUGCAAUGCUGCUCAAUUUUUCCAUUUAUUUACUCAGCCUGUAGGGCACUGUAUUCCGGUUUCAUUCUUUAGGUUUCUUUGAAGCCAAUGAAGCAGGACUGGCUCUUGAAAGUGCAGAAGUUGGGAUUCAAUCCAUAUUUAUAUGCCAUUGCUGUAAAUGUGGAGACUGUAUUAAAGGGCUGAUCAGGCACGAAAAAAGACUUUAACUAAUUUAAGUCAGCAGGAAACCUUUUGUUUUUUACUUUAUAGAUUUUUCUGCAGUUGCUCAUCCUGAAAAUUUGGCAAUAGGUUUCUGAUAAUUCAAAGUCAAAUCUUGUACCAUAGUCAUGAGUAGAAGGAAAUAAAUGAUUUGAAUAUUAUCAGUUAUGCUUGAAAAAUGAGUGGUUCUUCCACUACUUCCAAACCAAAAGAAUACUUCCCAUUAAUCAAGUUGGAAGACUGUGUCUCAUGCUUCAUUCUAGUUUAUGUAUUCGGUCCUCUUUUCCUUGAUCCUACCUGUAGAGCCAUGUGUUUUCUAUAUUUCCUCUGUUCCAUUUACACUGCAAAUGAUUAUAAUUUCUGUUACACAAAAAAACCUGAGCUGCCACAACCACUACCUAGGUUACCAGAGC